Molecule: ribosomal RNA, 752 nt
Filed under: Aspergillus niger
Lineage: Eukaryota; Fungi; Ascomycota; Eurotiomycetes; Eurotiales; Aspergillaceae
Description: SSU rRNA
Rfam family: Eukaryotic small subunit ribosomal RNA
Source: RNAcentral
UCAUAUGCUUGUCUCAGUCGUACAAGGUUUCACUGUAGUCAUAUGCUUGUCUCAAGUCGUAACAAGGUUUAAAGUAGUAAUAUGCUUGUCUCUAUCGUAAUAGGGUUGUUGAAAAGAAUGCUUAAGGGGUGUAUUUAUUAGAUAAAAAACCAAUGCCCUUCGGGGCUCCUUGGUGAAUCAUAAUAACUUAACGAAUCGCAUGGCCUUGCGCCGGCGAUGGUUCAUUCAAAUUUCUGCCCUAUCAACUUUCGAUGGUAGGAUAGUGGCCUACCAUGGUGGCAACGGGUAACGGGGAAUUAGGGUUCGAUUCCGGAGAGGGAGCCUGAGAAACGGCUACCACAUCCAAGGAAGGCAGCAGGCGCGCAAAUUACCCAAUCCCGACACGGGGAGGUAGUGACAAUAAAUACUGAUACGGGGCUCUUUUGGGUCUCGUAAUUGGAAUGAGUACAAUCUAAAUCCCUUAACGAGGAACAAUUGGAGGGCAAGUCUGGUGCCAGCAGCCGCGGUAAUUCCAGCUCCAAUAGCGUAUAUUAAAGUUGUUGCAGUUAAAAAGCUCGUAGUUGAACCUUGGGUCUGGCUGGCCGGUCCGCCUCACCGCGAGUACUGGUCCGGCUGGACCUUUCCUUCUGGGGAAUCUCAUGGCCUUCACUGGCUGUGGGGGGAACCAGGACUUUUACUGUGAAAAAAUUAGAGUGUUCAAAGCAGGCCUUUGCUCGAAUACAUUAGCAUGGAAUAAUAGAAUAGGACGUGCG